CAAUAUCGAAUGACAUUCUGAAUCACACGAGUACUUCAACCAACCAGUUCCUGGCACCAAGUCAUAUAAUGCAUGUAAAACUUAUGUUUCCUUCUACUUCUCUUUCCAUACACCCCUGUUUUGAUGAACAGAGAAGAUGAUGAAUAUUGUAGUUUGUAGUGAAGUCUGAUAUAUUCCAGCUUUACCAAAACAUGCACCAUAUGUGAGCUUUACCAAAACAUGCACCAUAUGUUACACAGCAGUUUGGUCUUAAUUCUCUUCAAGGAUUUUCUGGAAUGUCGCCAUUUGGGCAGAUGCAGGAACAAUCACCUGUUCAUCUUCAGCAACCUCAUCUACAACAACCACCCUUUCAUAGCGGUCCACAAAUGCACCAGGCUCCCCCUCCAGAUAUCCAGUCAUUUCAAUUUCUUAGCAGCAAUCUUCAGCUCGGCCACCAUAACACGGAUCAAGGCCAGUACACAAUCCCAGUAUGGCAUUUCCUGUGAUGUAGCAUGUGUUUAUGCCAGAAUGUAGAAACUCGACUAUCCUAGCUGUCAAUUAUGUAACGAAAAAUACUGUAGAAACUAAGGUAUCCUCACUGGCUCACCUUGUUUAUAUUAAUAAAAAUAUGGAGCGUUGGUGAAACCUGGACCAAACCCUCCUACUACUAUGGGUUAAAGGUUACCGCGUGUUGAAAGCCAUGAAGCAUGCACUUGGUACUAGUUGUGACAAGAGAAUGACAUCUUCGGAGCGGAAUGCGCAUUAGUUUCAACAUGGGGAAAGCACAAUAGUUUCGUCAUUUCGAGAUCGAAAGAAACGCGGACCAAAGCUAUGCUUAUGCUUUGAAGAUAUUCUUCUACAAAGAAGACAUGCUUUUGACUUGGCUGAAAGAAAUCAGUCUACUGAGUGCAACAUUUUAGCGGUCAUUUGGUAAAAAGAGAAAGAACGCAAUCUUUCACUGGUAACGUGUGAUAGGUCAAUAGGUAGCUCGCGUCAUAUAUCUUGUGCUAAACCUGAAAGGCUGAAACCGUACCCUAUCUCAGAU
Triticum aestivum (bread wheat) is the source of this 1024-nucleotide long non-coding RNA. RefSeq lists it as uncharacterized. NCBI's taxonomy places the organism in Eukaryota, Viridiplantae, Streptophyta, Magnoliopsida, Poales, Poaceae. The transcript has 3 exons. The record is from RefSeq and is a predicted model, not a curated record.